GGUUCAGUGGUCUAGUGGUUAUGAUUUGUGUCUCACAUGACGUGAUCACACAAGGUCCCCGGUUCGAUCCCGGGCUGAACCA
Non-coding RNA from Dendrothele bispora CBS 962.96, 82 nucleotides. The record is from the annotation of a GenBank genome assembly. NCBI's taxonomy places the organism in Eukaryota, Fungi, Basidiomycota, Agaricomycetes, Agaricales.